GACUGCGGAGGGACAUUG
Molecule: ribosomal RNA, 18 nt
Filed under: Eucalyptus coronata
Lineage: Eukaryota; Viridiplantae; Streptophyta; Magnoliopsida; Myrtales; Myrtaceae
Description: partial 18S ribosomal RNA
Source: RNAcentral